CUCUGCAGAGAAGAAAGGCGUGCAAAGGAGGCUCCUAUGUUUCUCCAAUUAAUGUAAUUAAGAGAAUUAAACUUUUGGAGAGAGUGAGUUUUUCAUUUUCUUUUUAUUUGAUUAGGGAAAAUCCCAGUGCACACUCUGUGCAAAUGAAACCCAGGCUCCUUUCCGUUGUUGGGCAGCCCCGGGAGAACACGUUACCUUUCAAUCUCGCACUCUAAUGUGUUUAGAGUUAAAAUCCCCCCGCCCCAGGCGAGCAAAGGAAGGAUCCCAGAGCCUUGAUUAAAGCACGGCUUCCUGAGCAAGGAUGUGCAUGUGGAGCUGCUGGGCUUGCACUGUGCCCUGCACAGCCAGACCAGCCCAUGAACACCAAGAGAUGCCACGACAUCCACGACAUUCCAGUCUUCUGGUGGUGGUCGUAACUUUGAAAACCAUGGAGACAUCGCUGGAUCUGUGGCAGGUGUCCUCAACAUGUGAUUUUGGAGAAGAAAAGCACCCACAGCUAUCACCCAGGGACCAGCUGCCCAUCACCACAGCACUGGCAAACAUCCACUUUGGGAGGACAACGAGUAUUUUUGGCUGCAGCAGCAACAACGCCAUAAAACACCAGGAACUGCUGCUUGCAGGCUUCUCCCAUCGCUGCUCGGAGCAUCUGUGGAAGGGAAAACUUCCCAGCGUAACAUCCACAACCUCUUAAGUAAAUAGUCUUUAAUGUUGCACUAAGGGCUUGUAGCCUUAAUAUGUAAAAUCUGUUUAGCUUUUUUUAAUUCUUGGAUCGCGCUGUGGAAAGCGCUCCAGAAGUUGCCU
This 801-nucleotide long non-coding RNA is filed under the name Junco hyemalis (dark-eyed junco). Its description in RNAcentral is "lncRNA (ENSJHYG00000008629.1)". The record is from RNAcentral. Lineage: Eukaryota; Metazoa; Chordata; Aves; Passeriformes; Passerellidae.